This 379-nucleotide ribosomal RNA is filed under the name uncultured soil bacterium. RNAcentral's name for it is "bacterial SSU rRNA". It matches the Rfam family "Bacterial small subunit ribosomal RNA", at positions 26 to 406 of the family's 1533-position model. The record is from RNAcentral.
AGGACGAACGCUGGCGGCGUGCUUAACACAUGCAAGUCGAGCGGUAAGGCCUUUCGGGGUACACGAGCGGCGAACGGGUGAGUAACACGUGGGUGAUCUGCCCUGCACUUCGGGAUAAGCCUGGGAAACUGGGUCUAAUACCGGAUAUGACCUCAGGUUGCAUGACUUGGGGUGGAAAGAUUUAUCGGUGCAGGAUGGGCCCGCGGCCUAUCAGCUUGUUGGUGGGUAAUGGCCUACCAAGGCGACGACGGGUAGCCGACCGUGAGAGGGUGACCGGCCACACGUGGGACUGAGACACGGCCCAGACUCCGUACGGGAGGCAGCAGGUGGGAAUAGUGCACAAUGGGACGAAAGCCUGAUGCAGCGACGCCGCGUGAGG